GGGCUAGUACCGGUUUCGACGGGGAUUAUGAAGCUUAAGAAGCGAGUCGUAUGGUAAUGCGUUAAAUGGCCAAAUUAAAAUUAAACGCUGAAGAUAAUUUAGCAUACGCUGCCUAGUUGCAGCAGUCGCCCUUAGUACACCUACAUACCAAGGAUCCGACUUCAUCUUUGUAGGAAACGACGUUAUCAAAGCUUUGAGAUGGCGGGCGUAUUAUGAAGCUACUAAAGCAUAAAUCCUGUUUGUAGGAGUUAUGUGGAGGGAAUGUAAAAAUACAAACUACACUCGUAGAAGGGCCGGGAAUUGGCUUUUGGACACGGGUUCGACUCCCGUCUAGUCCACUA
This 341-nucleotide transfer-messenger RNA is filed under the name Lachnospiraceae. RNAcentral describes it as "XBB1006 sp017615375 Standard tmRNA". It matches the Rfam family "transfer-messenger RNA". From Rfam's summary of the family: Bacterial tmRNA, also known as 10Sa RNA or SsrA, is named for its dual tRNA and mRNA-like properties. The record is from RNAcentral. RNAcentral also lists the same sequence under 1 other name. Lineage: Bacteria; Bacillati; Bacillota; Clostridia; Lachnospirales.